GACGAACGCUGGCGGUGUGCUUAACACAUGCAAGUCGAACGGCAAGGCCCUGCUUUCGUGCGGUUCUCGAGUGGCGAACGGGUGAGUAUCACGUAAGUAACCUACCCUUCACUUUGGGAUAGCUUCAGGAAACUGGGCCUAAUCUCGGAUAGGAGCUCCUGCUCCAUGGUAGGCGUUGGAUCGUUUCGGCGGGUGGGGAUGGACUCGCGGCUUAUCAGCUUGUUGGUGGGGUAGUGGCUUACCCAGGCUUUGACGGAUAGCCGGCCUGUGAGGGUGAACGGCCACAUGGGGACUGAGAGACGGCGCAGUCGCCUACGGUAGGCAGCAGUGGGGAGUAUUGCACAAUGGGCCGAAGUCUGAGGCAGCGACGCCGCGUGCGGAAUGACGGCCUUCGGGGUGUGAACAGCUUUCGCCUGUGACGAAGCGUGAGUGACGGUAAUGGGUAAAGAAGCACCGGCUAACUACGUG
This 468-nucleotide ribosomal RNA is filed under the name uncultured bacterium. Its description in RNAcentral is "partial 16S ribosomal RNA". It matches the Rfam family "Bacterial small subunit ribosomal RNA", at positions 28 to 507 of the family's 1533-position model. The record is from RNAcentral.